GGGCCUGUGGUCCAAUGGUAAGACGCUACCUUCACAGGGUAGACACCGGAGUCCGAUUCUCCGCGGGCCCAC
Molecule: transfer RNA, 72 nt
Filed under: uncultured archaeon
Lineage: Archaea
Description: tRNA-Val(cac)
Rfam family: tRNA
About the family: Transfer RNA (tRNA) molecules are approximately 80 nucleotides in length. Their secondary structure includes four short double-helical elements and three loops (D, anti-codon, and T loops).
Source: RNAcentral